Molecule: transfer RNA, 80 nt
Filed under: Adineta vaga
Lineage: Eukaryota; Metazoa; Rotifera; Eurotatoria; Adinetida; Adinetidae
Also listed under: 6 other names
Description: tRNA-Leu for anticodon CAG
Rfam family: tRNA
About the family: Transfer RNA (tRNA) molecules are approximately 80 nucleotides in length. Their secondary structure includes four short double-helical elements and three loops (D, anti-codon, and T loops).
Source: RNAcentral
GACAGUAUGGCCGAGCGGUCUAAGGCGCCAGUUUCAGGUACUGGUCACUUGUGGCGUGGGUUCGAAUCCCACUACUGUCA